RNAcentral lists this ribosomal RNA (495 nucleotides) under uncultured bacterium. RNAcentral describes it as "partial 16S ribosomal RNA". It matches the Rfam family "Bacterial small subunit ribosomal RNA", at positions 28 to 507 of the family's 1533-position model. The record is from RNAcentral.
GACGAACGCUGGCGGCGUGCCUAAUACAUGCAAGUAGAACGCUGAAGGAGGAGCUUGCUUCUCUGGAUGAGUUGCGAACGGGUGAGUAACGCGUAGGUAACCUGCCUGGUAGCGGGGGUUAACUUUUGGAAACGUAACUUAUAACCGCAUAAGAUAAGAUGUUGCAUGACAUUUACUAAAAAGUUGCAAUUCCUUCCUAACCAAAUGACCCUGCGUUGUAUUAGCUAGUUGGUGAGGUAACGGCUCACAAAGGCAACGAUACAUAGCCGACCUGAGAGGGUGAUCGGCCACACUGGGACUGAGACACGGCCCAGACUCCUACGGGAGGCAGCAGUAGGGAAUCUUCGGCAAUGGACGGAAGUCUGACCGAGCAACGCCGCGUGAGUGAAGAAGGGUUUCGGAUCGUAAAGCUCUGUUGUAAGAGAAGAACGAGUGUGAGAGUGGAAAGUUCACACUGUGACGGUAUCUUACCAGAAAGGGACGGCUAACUACGUG